RNAcentral lists this long non-coding RNA (240 nucleotides) under Gossypium barbadense (sea-island cotton). Its description in RNAcentral is "long non-coding RNA (GBAR_LNC016581)". The record is from RNAcentral. Lineage: Eukaryota; Viridiplantae; Streptophyta; Magnoliopsida; Malvales; Malvaceae.
UCAUCUUCGUUGAACCUUAUUUUCGUGAUCCGUUUAAUGCCAUUUAAGAAUUAUAAAGGGAAGUAUAAAUGUGUUUCUUUGAAUUACUAUAUAGAUUUGUAGUAAUUAAAAUUAAUGCUAAUUAAACUGAAAUAUUGAAUGUUCUAAUUAAACUGAAAUAUUGAAUGUUUUCUUUUAUUGUAAUGUAUUCUAGUCUAAUAUGGUUAUAACACUUCCUAUAAAUGCGAUUUUUUCCCCUGC